GGGCUUGUAGCUCAGCUAGGUAGAGCAAUCGGCUCUUAACCGAUCGGUCGAGGGUUCGAAUCCCUCCAAGCCCG
Molecule: transfer RNA, 74 nt
Filed under: Thermoplasmata archaeon
Lineage: Archaea; Methanobacteriati; Thermoplasmatota; Thermoplasmata
Also listed under: 1 other name
Description: tRNA-Lys
Rfam family: tRNA
About the family: Transfer RNA (tRNA) molecules are approximately 80 nucleotides in length. Their secondary structure includes four short double-helical elements and three loops (D, anti-codon, and T loops).
Source: RNAcentral